RNAcentral lists this small nuclear RNA (323 nucleotides) under Ochotona princeps (American pika). RNAcentral's name for it is "7SK RNA (ENSOPRG00000023858.1)". The stretch from base 1 to 185 matches the Rfam family "7SK RNA". Rfam says of the family: 7SK was discovered as an abundant small nuclear RNA in the mid-70s but a possible function has only recently been suggested. Two independent studies have found that 7SK RNA binds the CDK9/cyclin T complex (known as elongation factor P-TEFb). P-TEFb activates transcription by phosphorylating the C-terminal domain of RNA polymerase II. Lineage: Eukaryota; Metazoa; Chordata; Mammalia; Lagomorpha; Ochotonidae. The record is from RNAcentral.
GAAUGUGAGGGUAAGAGGAUGUGGCAUCUGUCCCCCUGUUGAUUGUCAGCUGUGACUGGGCUCAAGUAGCUGCUGGGUAGGUCUUCCUUUCACUCUCAGUGCUCCAUAGGCAUCCUCCCUGAGGUUGUGUGCUCCAUGGACAAGGAAGACCUUCCCCACAAAAGGAGGAGCAGUCAGUGUAUGAACGCUGCACCCCCUUCUUCUCCCACAAGCAACAGUAAAUGUGUGAGGCAAUGUCUACAUUACAUAUUUGGUUUGGUCAUUACAUAACAUACAUACACCAAAAUCCUCACUCUAUACUUGAUGAACAGGUUUAAUAAUCA